Tribolium castaneum (red flour beetle) is the source of this 217-nucleotide ribosomal RNA. It matches the Rfam family "Eukaryotic small subunit ribosomal RNA", at positions 1156 to 1664 of the family's 1831-position model. NCBI's taxonomy places the organism in Eukaryota, Metazoa, Arthropoda, Insecta, Coleoptera, Tenebrionidae. The record is from Rfam.
GCGGAGCGAAACGAUCCGAUCGGUUCAAGCGGUGAACAGCGACUGACUGACUGACUGACUGAAGGAAUCAGCGUGUCCUCCCUGACCGAGCGGUCCGGGUAACCCGCUGAACCUCCUUCGUGCUAGGGAUUGGGGCUUGCAAUUGUUCCCCAUGAACGAGGAAUUCCCAGUAAGCGCGAGUCAUAAGCUCGCGUUGAUUACGUCCCUGCCCUUUGUA